This 19-nucleotide unclassified non-coding RNA is filed under the name synthetic construct. RNAcentral's name for it is "RNA (5'-D(P*GP*CP*UP*GP*UP*GP*(5MU)P*UP*CP*GP*AP*UP*CP*CP*AP*CP*AP*GP*C)-3') from synthetic construct (PDB 3BT7, chain D)". The record is from RNAcentral.
GCUGUGUUCGAUCCACAGC